This 1375-nucleotide ribosomal RNA is filed under the name metagenome. RNAcentral describes it as "bacterial SSU rRNA". It matches the Rfam family "Bacterial small subunit ribosomal RNA". The record is from RNAcentral.
GUGGCAAACGGGUGAGUAAUAGUUAGGUAACCUGCCUUUAAGUGGGGGAUAACACUUCGAAAGAAGUGCUAAUACCGCAUGUGGUGCUCUUUCAUAAGAAGGAUCACUAAAACCGCAAGGUGCUUGAAGAGGGGCCUGUCUCCGAUUAGCUAGUUGGUGAGGUAAUGGCCCACCAAGGCUGGGAUCGGUAGCUGGUCUGAGAGGAUGGUCAGCCACACUGGGACUGAGAUACGGCCCAGACUCCUACGGGAGGCAGCAGCAAGGAAUCUUGGGCAAUGGGCGAAAGCCUGACCCAGCGACGCCGCGUGAGGGAUGAAGGCCUUCGGGUUGUAAACCUCUUUUCUCAGGGAAGAAUAAUGACGGUACCUGAGGAAUAAGUCUCGGCUAACUACGUGCCAGCAGUUGCGGUAAUACGUAGGAGGCGAGCGUUAUCCGGAUUUAUUGGGCGUAAAGUGGGCGUAGGUGGUCUUUCAAGUCAGAUGUGAAAUCUCCCGGCUUAACUGGGAGGGGUCAUCUGAUACUGUUGGACUUGAGUACAGCAGGGGAAAAUGGAAUUCCCGGUGUAGUGGUGAAAUGCGUAGAUAUCGGGAGGAAUACCAGAGGCGAAGGCGAUUUUCCAGGCUGAAACUGACACUGAGGCCCGAAAGCGUGGGGAGCGAACAGGAUUAGAUACCCUGGUAGUCCACGCCUUAAACUAUGGGUACUAGGUAUAGGGAGUAUUGACCCUUUCUGUGCCGAAGCUAAUGCUUUAAGUACCCCGCCUGGGGAGUACGGUCGCAAGACUAAAACUCAAAGGAAUUGACGGGGGCCCGCACAAGCAGCGGAGCGUGUGGUUUAAUUCGAUUUAUACGAAGAACCUCACCAAGGCUUGACAUGUUAGAAGUAGUGAACCGAAAGGGAAACGACCUGUUAAAUCAGGAGCUAUCACAGGUGCUGCAUGGCUGUCGUCAGCUCGUGCCGUGAGGUGUAUGGUUAAGUCCUGCAACGAGCGCAACCCUUAUUGCCAGUUAUAUUCUCUGGCGAUACUGCCUCGUAAAACGAGGACGAAGGUGGGGAUGACGUCAAGUCAGCAUGGCCUUUAUGCCUUGGGCUACACACACGCUACAAUGGGCGGUACAAUGGUUGCCACCGGGUGACCGGGAGCUAAUCUCCAAAACCGCCCUCAGUUCGGAUCGCAGGCUGAAACCCGCCUGCGUGAAGUCGGAGUUGCUAGUAAACGCGUGUCAGCAUAGCGCGUUGAAUACGUUCUCGGGCCUUGUACACACCGCCCGUCACGUCAUGAAAGCUGGUAACACCUGAAGUCGAUAGGCUAACCCGCAAGGGAGGCAGUCGCCCAAGGUGGGACUGGUAAUUGGGACGAAGUCGUAACAAGGUA